UGGGGAAUAUUGCACAAUGGAGGAAACUCUGAUGCAGCAACGCCGCGUGGAGGAUGACGCAUUUCGGUGUGUAAACUCCUUUUAUAAGGGAAGAUAAUGACGGUACCUUAUGAAUAAGCACCGGCUAACUCCGUGCCAGCAGCCGCGGUAAUACGGAGGGUGCAAGCGUUACUCGGAAUCACUGGGCGUAAAGGAUGCGUAGGCUGGAAAUCAAGUCGAGAGUGAAAUCCAACGGCUUAACCGUUGAACUGCUCUCGAAACUGGUUACCUAGAAUAUGGGAGAGGUAGAUUGAAUUGGUGGUGUAGGUGUAAAAUCCGUAGAUAUCGCCAGGAAUACCGAUUGCGAAGGCGAUGUACUGGAACAUUAUUGACGCUGGGGCAUGAAAGCUUGGGGAGCAAACA
This 402-nucleotide ribosomal RNA is filed under the name uncultured prokaryote. RNAcentral's name for it is "bacterial SSU rRNA". It matches the Rfam family "Bacterial small subunit ribosomal RNA", at positions 355 to 774 of the family's 1533-position model. The record is from RNAcentral.